GAUGAACGCUGGCGGCGUGCCUAAUACAUGCAAGUCGAGCGAACAGAUGAGGAGCUUGCUCCUCUGACGUUAGCGGCGGACGGGUGAGUAACACGUGGAUAACCUACCUAUAAGACUGGGAUAACUUCGGGAAACCGGAGCUAAUACCGGAUAAUAUAUUGAACCGCAUGGUUCAAUAGUGAAAGACGGUUUUGCUGUCACUUAUAGAUGUAUCCGCGCCGCAUUAGCUAGUUGGUAAGGUAACGGCUUACCAAGGCAACGAUGCGUAGCCGACCUGAGAGGGUGAUCGGCCACACUGGAACUGAGACACGGUCCAGACUCCUACGGGAGGCAGCAGUAGGGAAUCUUCCGCAAUGGGCGAAAGCCUGACGGAGCAACGCCGCGUGAGUGAUGAAGGUCUUCGGAUCGUAAAACUCUGUUAUUGGGGAAGAACAAAUGUGUAAGUAACUAUGCACGUCUUGACGGUACCUAAUCAGAAAGCCACGGCUAACUACGUG
This 497-nucleotide ribosomal RNA is filed under the name uncultured bacterium. RNAcentral's name for it is "partial 16S ribosomal RNA". It matches the Rfam family "Bacterial small subunit ribosomal RNA", at positions 28 to 507 of the family's 1533-position model. The record is from RNAcentral.